CUUCCCUCCUUCUAACCGUGGCAACACAUCAUCUUUUUAGUGUUGCCACUGUGGAGUCUUUUCCAGAACGUCCAAGAGUUUGGCUCGUAGAGUAGGCUGUGAGAACCACAAGGAGUCUUCAGGACAUGCUGGUUUGAAGUCUUCAUUCCAAACAUGAGCAAACGGAGGCUGAGGAUUCUGUGUGUGGGGUACAGAUCACGUGGAAUCCCUUGUCAAGUUCUGAGGAAGGGGGAAUGGGAUUUAUUUCUCCCCUGCCUAAAUUUCUCCUGGUAGUCGCUGCUUUUAAAUAACGAAAUGGAACUGUAAACUAAUUUCUUAAAAGA
Peromyscus eremicus (cactus mouse) is the source of this 323-nucleotide long non-coding RNA. RefSeq lists it as uncharacterized. The record is from RefSeq and is a predicted model, not a curated record. Lineage: Eukaryota; Metazoa; Chordata; Mammalia; Rodentia; Cricetidae. The transcript has 2 exons.